GGCUUAGAGUUUGAUCAUGGCUCAGGAUGAACGCUGGCGGCGUGCUUAACACAUGCAAGUCGAACGAAGCACUUCUGUGGAAGUUUUCGGAUGGAAACAGAAGCGACUGAGUGGCGGACGGGUGAGUAACGCGUGGGUAACCUGCCUCAUACAGGGGGAUAACAGCUGGAAACGGCUGCUAAUACCGCAUAAGCGCACAGUACCGCAUGGUACAGUGUGAAAAACUCCGGUGGUAUGAGAUGGACCCGCGUCUGAUUAGGUAGUUGGUGCGGUAACGGCGCACCAAGCCGACGAUCAGUAGCCGACCUGAGAGGGUGACCGGCCACAUUGGGACUGAGACACGGCCCAAACUCCUACGGGAGGCAGCAGUGGGGAAUAUUGCACAAUGGGGGAAACCCUGGUGCAGCGACGCCGCGUGAAGGAAGAAGUAUUUCGGUAUGUAAACUUCUAUCAGCAGGGAAGAAGAUGACGGUACCUGACUAAGAAGCCCCGGCUAACUACGUGCCAGCAGCCGCGGUAAUACGUAGGGGGCAAGCGUUAUCCGGAUUUACUGGGUGUAAAGGGAGCGUAGACGGAGCGGCAAGUCUGGAGUGAAAACCCAGGGCUUAGCCCUGGGACUGCUUUGGAAACUGUCGUUCUUGAGUGCCGGGGGGGUAAGCG
Molecule: ribosomal RNA, 660 nt
Filed under: uncultured organism
Description: bacterial SSU rRNA
Rfam family: Bacterial small subunit ribosomal RNA
Source: RNAcentral